UGUUUGUCUCGACGUCGAAGCACAGCUCGACCAAGUCUUAAUGAAGGAGGAGGUCAAGAACAUAAUGACGAGAGGAAAAAAACUAACAAGAAGAUGCAUACCGAAACGAUUCACUAACGGAAGCGAUUAAAAUACUAUCAAUUCUCGAAACUAUUGGAUCGUUUUAGCAUAAAUUCAGAAAAAUCGAGGAAAUUUUAAGAAAAAUAUUUGUGAAAAUAUGCUGCCGACAGCGAUCGGCACGCGGUCUCGAGGAUCUUCGAGUUAAGCAGUCUUUCGGUCGGGAUCAGUACUCGGUGCGGU
Venturia canescens is the source of this 300-nucleotide long non-coding RNA. RefSeq lists it as uncharacterized. The record is from RefSeq and is a predicted model, not a curated record. The transcript is spliced from 3 exons. Lineage: Eukaryota; Metazoa; Arthropoda; Insecta; Hymenoptera; Ichneumonidae.